AAGAGGAGACAAGAGAAUGACAACAUUACAUGAUCAGUGCACAUGUCGAAGGUGAAAUAUUUGAUCAUCAGUUGUUCAGUUUUUGUUUUCAAAACACAGAGGUGACUCGGUUUACAAUAAAUCAACGAUCAAAAUUUUCACAUCUGAAACAACGAAUAGAAAAGAAAUUGCAGUGCAAUAAUAUGGGUCGGAUCAUCUAUAAAAAUCCGGUUUGGUUUGCAGAAAACCAGGUAAAAUUUUAUCAGAAGAAGAUUCGAGAUGAUGAUGAUGUUC
Molecule: long non-coding RNA, 273 nt
Filed under: Lathyrus oleraceus (garden pea)
Lineage: Eukaryota; Viridiplantae; Streptophyta; Magnoliopsida; Fabales; Fabaceae
Description: Pisum sativum (pea) long non-coding RNA (PSAT_LNC018829)
Source: RNAcentral